RNAcentral lists this ribosomal RNA (483 nucleotides) under uncultured bacterium. RNAcentral's name for it is "partial 16S ribosomal RNA". It matches the Rfam family "Bacterial small subunit ribosomal RNA", at positions 28 to 507 of the family's 1533-position model. The record is from RNAcentral.
GACGAACGCUGGCGGCGUGCUUAACACAUGCAAGUCGAACGCUGAAGCUCAGCUUUUGUUGGGUGGAUGAGUGGCGAACGGGUGAGUAACACGUGAGUAACCUGCCCCCUUCUUUGGGAUAACGCCCGGAAACGGGUGCUAAUACUGGGUAUUCACUGGUCUUCGCAUGGGGGUUGGUGGAAAGGGUUUUUCUGGUGGGGGAUGGGCUCGCGGCCUAUCAGCUUGUUGGUGGGGUGAUGGCCUACCAAGGCUUUGACGGGUAGCCGGCCUGAGAGGGUGACCGGUCACAUUGGGACUGAGAUACGGCCCAGACUCCUACGGGAGGCAGCAGUGGGGAAUAUUGCACAAUGGGCGCAAGCCUGAUGCAGCGACGCCGCGUGAGGGAUGGAGGCCUUCGGGUUGUGAACCUCUUUCGCUCAUGGUCAAGCCGCAACAAUGGUUGUGGUGAGGGUAGUGGGUAAAGAAGCGCCGGCUAACUACGUG